AUACAUGCAGUCGAGCGGACCUUUUAAAGCUUGCUUUUGAAAGGUCAGCGGCGGACGGGUGAGUAACACGUGGGCAACCUGCCUGUAAGACUGGGAUAACUUCGGGAAACCGGAGCUAAUACCGGAUAAUAUAAGGAACCUCCUGGUUCUUUAUUGAAAGAUGGUUUCGGCUAUCACUUACAGAUGGGCCCGCGGCGCAUUAGCUAGUUGGUGAGGUAACGGCUCACCAAGGCGACGAUGCGUAGCCGACCUGAGAGGGUGAUCGGCCACACUGGGACUGAGACACGGCCCAGACUCCUACGGGAGGCAGCAGUAGGGAAUCUUCCACAAUGGACGAAAGUCUGAUGGAGCAACGCCGCGUGAGCGAUGAAGGCCUUCGGGUCGUAAAGCUCUGUUGUUAGGGAAGAACAAGUGCGAGAGUAACUGCUCGCACCUUGACGGUACCUAACCAGAAAGCCACGGCUAACUACGUGCCAGCAGCCGCGGUAAUACGUAGGUGGCAAGCGUUGUCCGGAAUUAUUGGGCGUAAAGCGCGCGCAGGUGGUCCUUUAAGUCUGAUGUGAAAGCCCACGGCUCAACCGUGGAGGGUCAUUGGAAACUGGGGGGACUUGAGUGCAGAAGAGGAAAGU
RNAcentral lists this ribosomal RNA (629 nucleotides) under Bacillus sp. (in: firmicutes). RNAcentral describes it as "bacterial SSU rRNA". It matches the Rfam family "Bacterial small subunit ribosomal RNA", at positions 51 to 662 of the family's 1533-position model. The record is from RNAcentral. Lineage: Bacteria; Bacillati; Bacillota; Bacilli; Caryophanales; Bacillaceae.